UGGGGUGUGAUUCUCCAGCUAGGUGCGGUUGCGUUCGAAGCGACGCGUUUGGUAAUGAUUCAGAUAUUACUUGCGUCUAAAGGAAUCACGUUGAACCCUAUCACUUCUCUUUAUUACGUUGCACCUUGUUGUUUGGCUUUCUUGUCUGUUCCUUGGAUUGUUGUGGAGUUUCCUGUCCUGAGAGACACCUCUAGCUUCCAUUUCGACUACCUCGUGUUCGGGACCAACUCGUUCUGUGCGUUUGCUUUGAAUCUUGCUGUUUUUCUUUUGGUGGGGAAGACAUCUGCCUUGACCAUGAAUGUUGCUGGUGUGGUUAAGGACUGGCUCUUGAUCGCCUUCUCAUGGUCGGUGAUUAAGGACACUGUGACUCCUAUUAAUCUUUUUGGUUACGGGAUUGCGUUCUUGGGCGUUGCUUAUUACAAUCACGCUAAGUUAAGAGCAUUGAAGGCUAAAGAGGCUCAGAAGAGUGCUCAGCAGAGUGAUGAAGAGAGUGGUCGGCUUUUGGAAGAGAAGGAAGGUGGGAGGAAGAACGAGCCAGAUAAUUAGUAAGGUGAAAAAAUUGGUUUGGUUUUGAAUUUUUUUCCUGCUUAAAUUGCAUUUUUGUUGGAAUAAGAGCUUAAAGGGUUUAUAGUAGAUGUUAGACAAAGUUUGGUUUAUGAUAGUCAGACUUAAGAAUGACAAAUUGCCUUGAUGGAGAAUCUGAGUUUAGGUUAUGAUCUAUUUGUCUAACUUACUGAUUUGGCUACCUAUGGAUUGUAGAUUGCUUGGAUCAUAUAUAUCUUCACACUAAGUAAUAACCUGCACUGCACAUGAUAAUUAAAAAAAAAAAUUAAUUAUUUUGUAAUCUAUUAUAUUAAAACAGAAGUCACAACUUCUCUUCAUGUGUAAUUUUUUUUAAAUGGACCUUCCUAGAAAAUUAUAUUUCAUUUAAUUCUAAUUAACAUUAUGACAUCAUUAAAAUAUCGCAUCUUAAAUAAUUGACAUAUGUAACAACUCACCUAUAAAAUUGUCUUAUUUUUUAAUUAUAAAAAUAUGUUGAGAAAAAAAUCUACAAAAUCUUAUUAGAUAUUUUAAAUAUUAUUAUAAAAUAUAGUGUUUGUGUGGUCAGUAAGAGAAGGGUGUGGCUAGGAACAUUCAACACGGCGGAGGAAGCGGCUAAAGCCUACGACCAAGCAGCGGUUAUAAUGAAUGGCCAUAACGCGAAGACCAACUUUCCCGUCAUCAAAUCCAACGACUCAGAUUCUUCAGACAUCAACUCUCUCUCAAGGUCGCCUAAAUGGUUAUCAGAACACCUCAACGCUAAGCUAAGGAAAAACUGUAAAGACCAGACACCAUAUCUGACAUGUCUCCGCCUCGAUAACGACAGCUCACACAUCGGCGUCUGGCAGAAACGCGCCGGGUCAAAAACAACUCAAAACUGGGUCAAGCUUGUUGAACUUAGCGACGGCGUUAACGCACGGGCCGGUGAUGUUGGGAUUAAUAAGAUGAAGAAAAAAAUCGACGACGUUGAGGAAGAAGAUCAGAUGGCAAUGCAGAUGAUCGAGGAGCUUCUCAACGGACUAAAAUCUGAAAUGGACCAAAAGGCCAAAAAAGAGUCUCAGUGGCAAUGCAGAUGAUCGAGGAGCUUCUCAACUGGACUUGUCCUGCUUCUGCAUCCAUUUCAGGUCUUCACUAGAUAUAUUAUUAUAAAGUUAGUUAUAAUUAAUUUAUGGAGCUUUGAAAAAAUACGGAGCUUUAGUCAAAUACAUUUCGAAUAUAUAUAUGAUAAUCUAUAGGCCAUAUAAGCGCACAUAUACGUAAAUACCUUUUCAAAUGUAUACAACUGAUGCCAAAAAAAAUGUAUACAACUUUGUCUGCAUGUAUUAUGUAUACUACGUUAUAAAUAGUAUUCUACUUUUUUUUUUAAAUAGUAUUCUACUUGAUUACAAAGAGUUUAUUAUCUCUGUUGUAUUCGUCGACAUGAUAUAAUUACAUAGAGCAGACCGACAAGACAUGGUACAAUUGUAAGGAAGCUAAUUAAUUCGUUGAUUAAAGAAGAGUCAAAAGUAAAUGUGAAAGAGACUAGUCACUCUUUCUAAAUCCAUCUGCAAAUUAGAUUCAUGUGAUUCGAGUGUUUAGUCUUACCUCGACCAAGAAAGCGUUUACCAUUUAACAUGGUUACUACUAUAGUGUCUAUCGGUCAAAUUCUCCUCUCGUUUAUAUUUGACUUGUCAUAAUAUGUUUUCGACUAUCUAUAUCGUAUCAAUGCUUCCCUUUAUCCCUUAUAUAGGGCUCUGUUGAACUGAGUCUCUGCCAACUUUAUGUCCACGGAUCUACUCUUUUUCCUUGUUAUGUAUUUCACAGUGUAAUAUUCUUUUUUGUGUACGAUAUAAAAUUUCAGUUGACCAAAAAAAGAAGCAAGCACCGUGGAAAAAAAUAAAGGGUUUUAAUUAGGAGAGUAAUUGUAAAAGUAGGUGUACAAUUAAUCGCUAACCCUUCUCAAAAAGUGUAUGUUAUGAUAAUUAAACUUUUAAAAGUGUUACAUUGUGCAAAUAUCCCAUAAUUACUAUAUCAUUUAUAGAUGAGAAUAUAGAUAUUGUUUUCUUAUAAUAUGAAUAUUGUUUAAUCGGUAAUUAGAAGAAAUUUAUAAGUUGGUCCGUUACGUGGGGAGUCUUUGUGUUUGGUAAACACUCGAAACGUAUUUUCAGGAUCUCACACCAAAAAAAUCACCAACUCACUCGCUCAACCACCGUCUUCGCCGUAGAACCACCGCCUCCGCCGAUAGAAUCUGUAUUAAUAAAUUUUAGCCAAUGGGGAAAGGCGGAUCACUGAGCGAAGGCGUGAUUAAAAACAUCAUCCUCUCGUACACUUACGUGGCGAUAUGGAUCUUCCUCAGCUUCACCGUGAUCGUCUACAACAAAUACAUCCUCGACAAGAAGAUGUACAACUGGCCAUUCCCCAUCUCCCUAACCAUGAUCCACAUGUCCUUCUGCUCAACCCUAGCUUUCCUCCUCAUCAAGGUCUUCAACUUCGUCGAGCCUGUCUCAAUGUCACGCGACACUUACCUCAGAUCAGUCGUUCCUAUCGGCGCGUUGUACUCACUCUCCCUCUGGCUCUCCAACUCGGCCUACAUCUACCUUUCCGUCUCCUUCAUCCAGAUGCUCAAGGCCUUGAUGCCUGUCGCUGUUUACUCCAUCGGUGUCUUGUUUAAGAAGGAAGGUUUUAAGCCGGAGACAAUGGUUAACAUGUUGUCUAUCUCCUUCGGCGUCGCGAUAGCUGCUUACGGUGAAGCUAGGUUUGAUGUGUGGGGUGUGAUUCUCCAGCUAGGUGCGGUUGCGUUCGAAGCGACGCGUUUGGUAAUGAUUCAGAUAUUACUUGCGUCUAAAGGAAUCACGUUGAACCCUAUCACUUCUCUUUAUUACGUUGCACCUUGUUGUUUGGCUUUCUUGUCUGUUCCUUGGAUUGUUGUGGAGUUUCCUGUCCUGAGAGACACCUCUAGCUUCCAUUUCGACUACCUCGUGUUCGGGACCAACUCGUUCUGUGCG
Molecule: long non-coding RNA, 3524 nt
Filed under: Brassica napus (rape)
Lineage: Eukaryota; Viridiplantae; Streptophyta; Magnoliopsida; Brassicales; Brassicaceae
Description: long non-coding RNA (BNAP_LNC005392)
Source: RNAcentral